RNAcentral lists this ribosomal RNA (292 nucleotides) under uncultured Acidobacteriota bacterium. Its description in RNAcentral is "uncultured Acidobacteria bacterium partial 16S ribosomal RNA". Lineage: Bacteria; Pseudomonadati; Acidobacteriota. The record is from RNAcentral.
GGACUACCGGGGUAUCUAAUCCUGUUUGCUCCCCUAGCUUUCGUUCUUCAGCGUCAGUAGUGAUCCAGCUCGCCGCUUUCGCCACGGGUGUUCCUGCAGAUAUCUACGCAUUUCACCGCUACACCUGCAAUUCCACGAGCCUCUCUCACACUCAAGCACGGCAGUUUUGGAAGCCGUCUCUGGGUUGAGCCCAGAGAUUUCACUCCCAACUUGCCACACCGCCUACGAACCCUUUACACCCAGUAAUUCCGAACAACGCUGGCCCCCUACGUAUUACCGCGGCUGCUGGCAC